RNAcentral lists this small nucleolar RNA (94 nucleotides) under Salix viminalis (osier). Lineage: Eukaryota; Viridiplantae; Streptophyta; Magnoliopsida; Malpighiales; Salicaceae. The record is from RNAcentral.
ACUGGCAUCAGUGAUGUCAUUGAUAAUCCCAGCUCUAUGAGAUCUUCAGUUGAAGGCCCAGGAAUAGAUUUUAUCAAUUUUUGUCAGCCUCUAU